This 459-nucleotide ribosomal RNA is filed under the name uncultured Fusibacter sp. RNAcentral's name for it is "bacterial SSU rRNA". It matches the Rfam family "Bacterial small subunit ribosomal RNA", at positions 925 to 1382 of the family's 1533-position model. The record is from RNAcentral. Lineage: Bacteria; Bacillati; Bacillota; Clostridia; Eubacteriales; Fusibacteraceae.
ACAAGCAGCGAGCAUGUGGUUUAAUUCGAAGCAACGCGAAGAACCUUACCAGAUCUUGACAUCCAAUUGACCAUCUUUUAUUCGAGAUUUUGCCUUCGGGUACAAUUGAGACAGGUGGUGCAUGGUUGUCGUCAGCUCGUGUCGUGAGAUGUUGGGUUAAGUCCCGCAACGAGCGCAACCCUUGUGUUUAGUUGCAAACAGGUCAAGCUGUGCACUCUAGACAGACUGCCGUGGACAACACGGAGGAAGGUGGGGAUGACGUCAAAUCAUCAUGCCCCUUAUGAUCUGGGCUACACACGUGCUACAAUGGCCGGUACAACGGGCAGCGAAGGAGCGAUCCGGAGCGAAUCCUAAAAAGCCGGUCCCAGUUCGGAUUGCAGGCUGAAACUCGCCUACAUGAAGUUGGAGUUGCUAGUAAUCGCGAAUCAGAAUGUCGCGGUGAAUGCGUUCCCGGGUCUU